RNAcentral lists this ribosomal RNA (424 nucleotides) under uncultured prokaryote. RNAcentral describes it as "bacterial SSU rRNA". It matches the Rfam family "Bacterial small subunit ribosomal RNA", at positions 355 to 796 of the family's 1533-position model. The record is from RNAcentral.
UGGGGAAUAUUGGACAAUGGGCGAAAGCCUGAUCCAGCAAUGCCGCGUGAGUGAUGAAGGCCUUAGGGUUGUAAAGCUCUUUUACCAGGGAUGAUAAUGACAGUACCUGGAGAAUAAGCUCCGGCUAACUCCGUGCCAGCAGCCGCGGUAAUACGGAGGGAGCUAGCGUUGUUCGGAAAUACUGGGCGUAAAGCGCACGUAGGCGGCGUCGCAAGUCAGGGGUGAAAUCCCGGGGCUCAACCCCGGAACUGCCCUUGAAACUGCAAUGCUAGAAUCUUGGAGAGGCGAGUGGAAUUCCGAGUGUAGAGGUGAAAUUCGUAGAUAUUCGGAAGAACACCAGUGGCGAAGGCGACUCGCUGGACAAGUAUUGACGCUGAGGUGCGAAAGCGUGGGGAGCAAACAGGAUUAGAUACCCCCGUAGUCC